AAACAGGGUUUGAUACCUCGACGUAAUGAUUAAUAAGCAUAGUCUAGUGCAUUAGUAUUCAAUUGUCAGAGGUGAAAUUGAGGGAUUUAUUGAAGACUAACUCCUGCGAAAGCAUGUGCCAAGGAUGUUUUCAUUAAUCAAGAACGAAAGUUAGGGGAUGGAGGACGAUCAGUGGCCGUCGUAGUCUUAACCAUAAAAACCUCCGACUAGGGAUCAUCUGAUGUUAAUUUUUUAAUGACUCAUUGUGGCGCCUUACGGGAAACCAAAGUGUUUGGGUUCCGGGGGGAGUAUGGUCGCAAGGCUGAAACUUAAAGGAAUUGACGGAAGGGCACCACCAGGGGUGGAGCCUGCGGCUUAAUUUGACCCAACACGGGGAAACUCACCAGGUCCAGACAUAGUAAGGAUUGACAGAUUGAGAGCUCUUUCAUGAUCCUAUGGGGGAUGGUGCAUGGCCGUUUUCAGUGGGUGGAGCGAUUGGUAGCGUUAAUUCCGUUAACGAACGAGACCUUAACCUGCUAAAUAGCUAGGCUUAACUUCGGUUAGGUCGUCAGCUUCUUAGAGGGACUAUCGGUGUUUAACCGAUGGAAGUUUGAGGCAAUAACAGGUCCGUGAUGCCUACAGAUGUUCUGUCACGCACGCGGAGUACACUGAUGAAGUCAUAGAGUUCUUUUCCUUUAUGAGGAGAUAUGAGUAAUUUUGGAAAUUUCAUGGGGAAGGGGUAGAGCGAUACAUUA
Molecule: ribosomal RNA, 734 nt
Filed under: uncultured fungus
Lineage: Eukaryota; Fungi
Description: bacterial SSU rRNA
Rfam family: Eukaryotic small subunit ribosomal RNA
Source: RNAcentral